AUCGACACUAGAUCAGACGCAGUUUUAC
RNAcentral lists this non-coding RNA (28 nucleotides) under Cricetulus griseus (Chinese hamster). Lineage: Eukaryota; Metazoa; Chordata; Mammalia; Rodentia; Cricetidae. The record is from RNAcentral.